AUAAUGGGUCAGCGACUUAUAUUCUGUAGCAAGGUUAACCGAAUAGGGGAGCCGAAGGGAAACCGAGUCUUAACUGGGCGUUAAGUUGCAGGGUAUAGACCCGAAACCCGGUGAUCUAGCCAUGGGCAGGUUGAAGGUUGGGUAACACUAACUGGAGGACCGAACCGACUAAUGUUGAAAAAUUAGCGGAUGACUUGUGGCUGGGGGUGAAAGGCCAAUCAAACCGGGAGAUAGCUGGUUCUCCCCGAAAGCUAUUUAGGUAGCGCCUCGUGAAUUCAUCUCCGGGGGUAGAGCACUGUUUCGGCAAGGGGGUCAUCCCGACUUACCAACCCGAUGCAAACUGCGAAUACCGGAGAAUGUUAUCACGGGAGACACACGGCGGGUGCUAACGUCCGUCGUGAAGAGGGAAACAACCCAGACCGCCAGCUAAGGUCCCAAAGUCAUGGUUAAGUGGGAAACGAUGUGGGAAGGCCCAGACAGCCAGGAUGUUGGCUUAGAAGCAGCCAUCAUUUAAAGAAAGCGUAAUAGCUCACUGGUCGAGUCGGCCUGCGCGGAAGAUGUAACGGGGCUAAACCAUGCACCGAAGCUGCGGCAGCGACGCUUAUGCGUUGUUGGGUAGGGGAGCGUUCUGUAAGCCUGCGAAGGUGUGCUGUGAGGCAUGCUGGAGGUAUCAGAAGUGCGAAUGCUGACAUAAGUAACGAUAAAGCGGGUGAAAAGCCCGCUCGCCGGAAGACCAAGGGUUCCUGUCCAACGUUAAUCGGGGCAGGGUGAGUCGACCCCUAAGGCGAGGCCGAAAGGCGUAGUCGAUGGGAAACAGGUUAAUAUUCCUGUACUUGGUGUUACUGCGAAGGGGGGACGGAGAAGGCUAUGUUGGCCGGGCGACGGUUGUCCCGGUUUAAGCGUGUAGGCUGGUUUUCCAGGCAAAUCCGGAAAAUCAAGGCUGAGGCGUGAUGACGAGGCACUACGGUGCUGAAGCAACAAAUGCCCUGCUUCCAGGAAAAGCCUCUAAGCAUCAGGUAACAUCAAAUCGUACCCCAAACCGACACAGGUGGUCAGGUAGAGAAUACCAAGGCGCUUGAGAGAACUCGGGUGAAGGAACUAGGCAAAAUGGUGCCGUAACUUCGGGAGAAGGCACGCUGAUAUGUAGGUGAAGUCCCUCGCGGAUGGAGCUGAAAUCAGUCGAAGAUACCAGCUGGCUGCAACUGUUUAUUAAAAACACAGCACUGUGCAAACACGAAAGUGGACGUAUACGGUGUGACGCCUGCCCGGUGCCGGAAGGUUAAUUGAUGGGGUUAGCGCAAGCGAAGCUCUUGAUCGAAGCCCCGGUAAACGGCGGCCGUAACUAUAACGGUCCUAAGGUAGCGAAAUUCCUUGUCGGGUAAGUUCCGACCUGCACGAAUGGCGUAAUGAUGGCCAGGCUGUCUCCACCCGAGACUCAGUGAAAUUGAACUCGCUGUGAAGAUGCAGUGUACCCGCGGCAAGACGGAAAGACCCCGUGAACCUUUACUAUAGCUUGACACUGAACAUUGAGCCUUGAUGUGUAGGAUAGGUGGGAGGCUUUGAAGUGUGGACGCCAGUCUGCAUGGAGCCGACCUUGAAAUACCACCCUUUAAUGUUUGAUGUUCUAACGUUGACCCGUAAUCCGGGUUGCGGACAGUGUCUGGUGGGUAGUUUGACUGGGGCGGUCUCCUCCUAAAGAGUAACGGAGGAGCACGAAGGUUGGCUAAUCCUGGUCGGACAUCAGGAGGUUAGUGCAAUGGCAUAAGCCAGCUUGACUGCGAGCGUGACGGCGCGAGCAGGUGCGAAAGCAGGUCAUAGUGAUCCGGUGGUUCUGAAUGGAAGGGCCAUCGCUCAACGGAUAAAAGGUACUCCGGGGAUAACAGGCUGAUACCGCCCAAGAGUUCAUAUCGACGGCGGUGUUUGGCACCUCGAUGUCGGCUCAUCACAUCCUGGGGCUGAAGUAGGUCCCAAGGGUAUGGCUGUUCGCCAUUUAAAGUGGUACGCGAGCUGGGUUUAGAACGUCGUGAGACAGUUCGGUCCCUA
This 2043-nucleotide ribosomal RNA is filed under the name Escherichia coli. RNAcentral describes it as "partial 23S ribosomal RNA". It matches the Rfam family "Bacterial large subunit ribosomal RNA", at positions 612 to 2640 of the family's 2925-position model. Lineage: Bacteria; Pseudomonadati; Pseudomonadota; Gammaproteobacteria; Enterobacterales; Enterobacteriaceae. The record is from RNAcentral.